UACAGAGGGGGCAAGCGUUGUUCGGAAUUACUGGGCGUAAAGGGCGCGUAGGCGGCCAUUCAAGUGACGGGUGAAAGCCCUCGGCUUAACCGAGGAACUGCCUGUCAGACUGGAUGGCUUGAGACCGGGAGAGGUGAGUGGAAUUCCCAGUGUAGCGGUGAAAUGCGUAGAUAUUGGGAGGAACACCAGUGGCGAAGGCGGCUCACUGGACCGGAACUGACGCUGAGGCGCGAAAGCGUGGGGAGCAAACAGG
Molecule: ribosomal RNA, 253 nt
Filed under: uncultured bacterium
Lineage: Bacteria
Description: partial 16S ribosomal RNA
Rfam family: Bacterial small subunit ribosomal RNA
Source: RNAcentral